Long non-coding RNA from Drosophila navojoa, 451 nucleotides. The record is from RefSeq and is a predicted model, not a curated record. NCBI's taxonomy places the organism in Eukaryota, Metazoa, Arthropoda, Insecta, Diptera, Drosophilidae.
CUCGCCAGGCUUUGUCUUUGUUUGUUUAAAUGCAUCUAUAUCAUUUGUCGAAACGUUCCGUUAGAUCUGGUUCAAAUCACUUUUCAGUUAAAUCCUUUUCGCUCCGCUUUCAAGAGUUCGUCUUUAGUAUUUCUUUAACAUUUAAUUUGGCAAUUUGUUUUCAAUAUAUUUUUUUCUUUUAUAUUGUUUUUAGGUUUGUUCCUUUAUUAUUGCUGUUUCGGGUUUUUGGUUUCUUUUUUCGAUUGAAACAAAUUCGUUUAGCUGAAACGCAUUUUGUCAAUAUUUCAUUUACGUAAUUUUUUCACUUUGUUUAAAGUUAAGUUUUAGGCUAAGAAGAAUUUUUGUUGUAGAGAUUUUUCUUUGACUUUUUUCAAUUUUUCGAAUGGCGUGCAUAGAUAUUUUUAGCUGGUUCUUUGUGUUAGAUUGUGUUUUUCUCUUUUAAAAUGUGUUU